UACGAAGGGGGCUAGCGUUGCUCGGAAUUACUGGGCGUAAAGCGCACGUAGGCGGCUUCUAAGUCGGGGUGAAAUCCUGGAGCUCAACUCCAGAACUGCCUUCGAUACUGGAGAGCUCGAGUCCGGGAGAGGUGGAGUGGAACUGCGAGUGUAGAGGUGAAAUUCGUAGAUAUUCGCAAGAACACCAGUGGCGAAGGCGGCCUCACUGGCCCGGUACUGACGCUGAGGUGCGAAAGCGUGGGGAGCAA
This 248-nucleotide ribosomal RNA is filed under the name uncultured bacterium. Its description in RNAcentral is "partial 16S ribosomal RNA". It matches the Rfam family "Bacterial small subunit ribosomal RNA", at positions 524 to 771 of the family's 1533-position model. The record is from RNAcentral.